CCUACGGGUGGCAGCAGUGAGGAAUAUUGGUCAAUGGGCGCGAGCCUGAACCAGCCAAGUAGCGUGAAGGAUGACUGCCCUACGGGGUGUAAACUUCUUUUAUAAAGGACUAAAGUGAUGCAGGUGUGCCUUUUGGUAGGUACUUUAUGAAUAAGGAUCGGCUAACUCGGUGCCAGCAGCCGCGGUAAGACGGAGGGUCCGAGCGUUAGCCGGAUUUAUUGGGUUUAAAGGGAGCGUAGAUGGGUUGUUAAGUAAGUUGUGAAAGUUUGCGGCUCAACCGUAAAAUUGCAAUUGAUACUGGCAGCCUGGAGUACAGUUGAGGUAGGCGGAAUUCGUGGUGUAGCGGUGAAAUGCUUAGAUAUCACGAAGAACUCCGAUUGCGAAGGCAGCCUACUAAACUGCCACUGACAUUGAUGCUCGAAAGUGUGGGUAUCAAACAGGAUUAGAUACCCUAGUAGUC
RNAcentral lists this ribosomal RNA (460 nucleotides) under uncultured bacterium. RNAcentral's name for it is "partial 16S ribosomal RNA". It matches the Rfam family "Bacterial small subunit ribosomal RNA", at positions 338 to 795 of the family's 1533-position model. The record is from RNAcentral.